UACGGGGGGGGCAAGCGUUGUUCGGAAUUACUGGGCGUAAAGGGCUCGUAGGCGGCCAACUAAGUCAGACGUGAAAUCCCCAGGCUCAACCUGGGAACUGCGUCUGAUACUGGAUGGCUUGAAUCCGGGAGAGGGAUGCAGAAUUCCAGGUGUAGCGGUGAAAUGCGUAGAUAUCUGGAGGAAUACCGGUGGCGAAGGCAGCUCUCUGGGACGGUACUGACGCUGAGACGCGAAAGCGUGGGGAGCGAACAGG
Molecule: ribosomal RNA, 253 nt
Filed under: uncultured bacterium
Lineage: Bacteria
Description: partial 16S ribosomal RNA
Rfam family: Bacterial small subunit ribosomal RNA
Source: RNAcentral